GACAGGCUAAGAAAUGUCUUUAUUCUAUUUAGCUGAUUAUGCAUCUAGCUGAAAACUGGGAUUUGGUUCUCAUGGAAAAAGGGAAGAAUGGCAUUGUUUUGUCAAUGAGAUGGGACCUUAAGACAACUGUUAAAGGUUCUGGGACGGCUCCUAGCUGCAGGUGGAGGUACCCACAGAGCCCUUUGGGUUUGCGGCCUCUCUCUGGAAUCUCUGCACUGUCAUAGAGUAUAAAAUUUUGCAGUUUAAUUGGAGUUCUCCCUCUACUGUGAUUCUUUACUUUCAACAACUUUUAAAUAUAAAAGAAAAAAGACUUCAUGGCAAGAGCAAAGAAAAGGAGAAAUUACUUGUCUUAUUUCCUCAACGGCUAUGUUAUCAUCCAUAGAAGAAGGCAAUGGCAACCCACUCCAGUACUCUUGCCUGUAAAAUCCCAUGCACGGAGGAGCCUGCAUAAGGAAGAAGCACCAAUUGAUAAAGAAAUACAGUGUUAAACAUGAAACCGCAUCUCUCUGCUCUCAGAAGAAGGACCAAUUGAUAAAGAAAUACAGUGUUAAACAUGAAACCGCAUCUCUCUGCUCUCAGAAUGUGAGAAAAAAAAACCUGGAAUGGUUUAUAUGGCUAUUUAUAGCUAGUAUUAAUUUCACUGGUAUUUGUAUUUUCAAAAGUUACAAUUCAGACUGUAUCAGAGAGCAAAACAGCAUCUUCCUCUUUUCCUCUUCCGUUUGUCUGAAUAUUUAGGUACAUUCCCCCUUUGAAUGUUUAAAAUUAGACAUUCUCACAGUCUUUCUUGGCAUUUCAGUGCUCAAUAUGAAAAUAUCAACAGUAGUCAACUGUGUUCUUAAUUUAACCACUCUUUGAUUUUAUAGUUGCAAUAUCUUUUCCCCUAUAUGUUUAAAAAUCAUAAAAUAUGAAUAUAAAUAAGCUGUCUUUGUGUUAUGUUUUGUUUUGUUGGUAGAGGUUGGGUUGCAAACAAAAAUGCCCACUCCUUGUCCUGUUUAAUUUACUGGUUCUUUAAAUGGUCAACAUUUUCUUUACCUCAGACCUCUGCAGGCUUCUAGAACCAUGACAAGGGUACUACGUCUGCUUGAUUAAGUUGUGCAAAGUCAGUACAAUGUAUGUACCGGUAGCACAGGCUCAGAGGCAGAGGACCUCCAUUCA
Long non-coding RNA from Cervus elaphus (red deer), 1155 nucleotides. RefSeq lists it as uncharacterized. The record is from RefSeq and is a predicted model, not a curated record. The transcript is spliced from 6 exons. NCBI's taxonomy places the organism in Eukaryota, Metazoa, Chordata, Mammalia, Artiodactyla, Cervidae.